Molecule: ribosomal RNA, 539 nt
Filed under: Bacillus tequilensis
Lineage: Bacteria; Bacillati; Bacillota; Bacilli; Caryophanales; Bacillaceae
Description: bacterial SSU rRNA
Rfam family: Bacterial small subunit ribosomal RNA
Source: RNAcentral
GCAGUCGAGCGGACAGAUGGGAGCUUGCUCCCUGAUGUUAGCGGCGGACGGGUGAGUAACACGUGGGUAACCUGCCUGUAAGACUGGGAUAACUCCGGGAAACCGGGGCUAAUACCGGAUGGUUGUUUGAACCGCAUGGUUCAAACAUAAAAGGUGGCUUCGGCUACCACUUACAGAUGGACCCGCGGCGCAUUAGCUAGUUGGUGAGGUAAUGGCUCACCAAGGCAACGAUGCGUAGCCGACCUGAGAGGGAAAUCGGUCUAACUGGGACUGAGACACGUCCCAGACUCCUACGGGAGGCGGCAGUAGGGAAUCUUCCGCAAUGGACGAAAGUCUGACGGAGCAACGCCGCGUGAGUGAUGAAGGUUUUCGGGAUCGUAAAGCUCUGUUGUUAGGGAAGAACAAGUACCGUUCGAAUAGGGCGGUACCUUGACGGUACCUAACCAGAAAGCCACGGCUAACUACGUGCCAGCAGCCGCGGUAAUACGUAGGUGGCAAGCGUUGUCUGGAAUUAUUGGGCGUAAAGGGCUCGCAGGCGG